This 398-nucleotide ribosomal RNA is filed under the name uncultured Pseudomonadota bacterium. Its description in RNAcentral is "bacterial SSU rRNA". It matches the Rfam family "Bacterial small subunit ribosomal RNA", at positions 395 to 774 of the family's 1533-position model. Lineage: Bacteria; Pseudomonadati; Pseudomonadota. The record is from RNAcentral.
CGCCGCGUGGGGGAAGAAGGCUUUCGGGUUGUAAACCCCUUUCAGUUUGGGACUGGAAGCCUCAGUCCCGUUAAUCAUAGCGGCGGCGAGGUGACGGUACCUUCACAAGAAGCCCCGGCUAACUUCGUGCCAGCAGCCGCGGUAAGACGAAGGGGGCUAGCGUUGUUCGGAAUUACUGGGCGUAAAGCGUGUGUAGGUGGUUGCCAUAGUCAGGUGUGAAAGCCUUGAGCUCAACUCAAGAAAUGCACUUGAUACUGGGCAACUAGAGGACCGGAGAGGAUAGUGGAAUUCCCAGUGUAGUGGUGAAAUACGUUAGAGAUUGGGAAGAACACCAGUGGCGAAGGCGGCUAUCUGGACGGUUUUCUGACACUAAGACACGAAAGCGUGGGGAGCAAACA